ACGUGCCAGCAGCCGCGGUAAGACGUAGGACGCGAGCGUUAUCCGGAUUUACUGGGCGUAAAGCGUGUGUAGGCGGCGUGACAAGUUGGGCGUGAAAGCCCCGUGCUCAACGCGGGGAGGCCGCACAAUACUGUCAGGCUAGAGGGCAUCAGAGGGGUGUGGAAUUCCCGGAGUAGCGGUAAAAUGCGCAGAUAUCGGGAGGAACACCGGUGGCGAAAGCGGCACCCUGGGGUGCACCUGACGCUGAGAGACGACAGCUAGGGGAGCGAACAGGAUUAGAGACCCUGGUAGUCCUAGCCGUAAACGAUGGAUGCUAGGUGUGGGAGUGAAGAACUUCUGUGCCGCAGCGAACGCGAUAAGCAUCCCGCCUGGGGAGUACGGCCGCAAGGUUAAAACUCAAACGAAUUGACGGGGACCCGCACAAGCAGCGGAGCGUGUGGUUUAAUUCGAUGCUACACGAAGAACCUUACCUGGGAUUGACAUAUGGGUGGUAGUGAGCCGAAAGGCAAGCGACCCUUCGGGGAGCCUAUACAGGUGCUGCAUGGCUGUCGUCAGCUCGUGCCGUGAGGUGUCGGGUUAAGGCCCGUAACGAGCGCAACCCCUGUCCUUAGUUACAAGUGUCUAAGGGGACUGCCGGCGGGAAGCCGGAGGAAGGUGGGGAUGACGUCAAGUCAGCAUGGCCCUUAUAUCCAGGGCGACACACACGCUACAAUGGUCGGUACAGAGGGCAGCGAAGCCGCGAGGUGGAGCGAAACCCAGAAAGCCGGUCGUAGUUCGGAUUGCAGGCUGCAACUCGCCUGCAUGAAGUUGG
This 811-nucleotide ribosomal RNA is filed under the name uncultured organism. RNAcentral's name for it is "bacterial SSU rRNA". It matches the Rfam family "Bacterial small subunit ribosomal RNA", at positions 503 to 1329 of the family's 1533-position model. The record is from RNAcentral.